RNAcentral lists this ribosomal RNA (244 nucleotides) under uncultured bacterium. RNAcentral's name for it is "partial small subunit ribosomal RNA". It matches the Rfam family "Bacterial small subunit ribosomal RNA", at positions 26 to 286 of the family's 1533-position model. The record is from RNAcentral.
AGAAUCAACGCUGGCGGCGUGCCUAACACAUGCAAGUCGAACGAGAAAGUGGAGCAAUCCAUGAGUAAAGUGGCGCACGGGUGAGUAACACGUGACUAACCUACCCUUGAGUGGGGAAUAACCUCGGGAAACCGGGCUAAUACCGCAUAACACCUACGGGUCAAAGGAGCAAUUCGCUUAAGGAGGGGUCGCGGCAGAUUAGUUAGUUGGCGGGGUAAUGGCCCACCAAGACGGUGAUCUGUAU